CCUACGGGUGGCAGCAGUGAGGAAUAUUGGUCAAUGGACGAGAGUCUGAACCAGCCAAGUAGCGUGAAGGAUGACUGCCCUAUGGGUUGUAAACUUCUUUUAUAUGGGAAUAAAAUGUUCCACGUGUGGGAUUUUGUAUGUACCAUAUGAAUAAGGAUCGGCUAACUCCGUGCCAGCAGCCGCGGUAAUACGGAGGAUCCGAGCGUUAUCCGGAGUUAGUGGGUUUAAAGGGAGCGUAGGUGGAUUGUUAAGUCAGUUGUGAAAGUUUGCGGCGCAACAGUAAAAUUGCAGUGGAAACUGGCAGUCUUGAGUACAGUAGAGGUGGGCGGAAUUCGUGGUGUAGCGGUGAAAUGCUUAGAUAUCACGAAGAACUCCGAUUGCGAAGGCAGUUCACUGGACUGCAACUGACACGGAGGCUCGAAAGUGUGGGUAGCAAACAGGAUUAGAUACCCUUGUAGUC
RNAcentral lists this ribosomal RNA (460 nucleotides) under uncultured bacterium. RNAcentral's name for it is "partial 16S ribosomal RNA". It matches the Rfam family "Bacterial small subunit ribosomal RNA", at positions 338 to 795 of the family's 1533-position model. The record is from RNAcentral.